Molecule: non-coding RNA, 70 nt
Organism: Danionella cerebrum
Lineage: Eukaryota; Metazoa; Chordata; Actinopteri; Cypriniformes; Danionidae
Source: the annotation of a GenBank genome assembly
GUUCCUGUGGCUCUGUUGGUAGAGCAUUGCGCUAACAACGCAAAGGUUGUGGGCUCAAAUUCCAGGGACA